AUUGAACGCUGGCGGAAUGCUUUACACAUGCAAGUCGAACGGCAGCACGGGAGCUUGCUCCUGGUGGCGAGUGGCGAACGGGUGAGUAAUACAUCGGAACGUACCCAGUUAUGGGGGAUAACUAACCGAAAGGUUAGCUAAUACCGCAUACGCCCUGAGGGGGAAGGCGGGGGACCGUAAGGCCUCGCGUAAUUGGAGCG
This 200-nucleotide ribosomal RNA is filed under the name uncultured bacterium. RNAcentral describes it as "partial 16S ribosomal RNA". It matches the Rfam family "Bacterial small subunit ribosomal RNA", at positions 30 to 228 of the family's 1533-position model. The record is from RNAcentral.